RNAcentral lists this ribosomal RNA (256 nucleotides) under uncultured bacterium. RNAcentral's name for it is "partial 16S ribosomal RNA". It matches the Rfam family "Bacterial small subunit ribosomal RNA", at positions 521 to 776 of the family's 1533-position model. The record is from RNAcentral.
UAAUACAGAGGGUGCGAGCGUUAAUCGGAAUGACUGGGCGUAAAGGGCGCGUAGGCGGAUUAGAAAGAGAUAUGUGAAAGCCCUGGGCUUAACCUAGGAAGUGCAUGUUUAACUAAUAAUCUGGAGUAUGAGAGAGGGUGAUAGAAUUUCCGGUGUAGCAGUGAAAUGCGUAGAUAUCGGAAAGAAUGUCGGUGGCGAAGGCGAUCACCUGGCUCAAUACUGACGCUGAGGCGCGAAAGCGUGGGGAGCAAACAGG